Molecule: long non-coding RNA, 296 nt
Filed under: Elaeis guineensis (African oil palm)
Lineage: Eukaryota; Viridiplantae; Streptophyta; Magnoliopsida; Arecales; Arecaceae
Description: long non-coding RNA (EGUI_LNC019998)
Source: RNAcentral
GACCAAAAAGUUGACUUGACCAAUAAUUUUCAAAUGAUUCUUUUCGAUUUUGCCAUAUGGACAUUAAGGUUAGAGUUCUUCCUAAUGGGGAGAGAUUACUACAAUUUAAGUAGCUUUGCAAGUAUAUGCAACAAUGUCCUGUUGGAAUAAAAUCAAGCAAUAAUGCAGGAUAUGUACCAGGAAACAGUAGAUUUCACGAGCUCAAGUGCUCCUCGUUUAGUGUAUGUAGUUCGUGGGAGGCUUUCUAUUUUAUUACAACAUUUUAGUUAGGGAUUAAUUAUAAAAGAUCAAGGGCU